UGGGGAAUAUUGCACAAUGGGCGAAAGCCUGAUGCAGCAACGCCGCGUGAGUGAUGAAGGUCUUCGGAUUGUAAAGCUCUGUCUUUUGGGACGAUAAUGACGGUACCAAAGGAGGAAGCCACGGCUAACUACGUGCCAGCAGCCGCGGUAAUACGUAGGUGGCGAGCGUUGUCCGGAUUUACUGGGCGUAAAGGGUGCGUAGGCGGAUGUUUAAGUGAGAUGUGAAAUACCCGGGCUUAACUUGGGUGCUGCAUUUCAAACUGGAUAUCUAGAGUGCAGGAGAGGAGAAUGGAAUUCCUAGUGUAGCGGUGAAAUUGCGUAGAGAUUAGGAAGAACACCAGUGGCGAAGGCGAUUCUCUGGACUGUAACUGACGCUGAGGCACGAAAGCGUGGGUAGCAAACAGGAUUAGAUACCCUGGUAGUCCACGCCGUAAACGAUGAGUACUAGGUGUAGGAGGUAUCGACCCCUUCUGUGCCGCAGUAAACACAUUAAGUACUCCGCCUGGGAAGUACGAUCGCAAGAUUAAAAC
RNAcentral lists this ribosomal RNA (530 nucleotides) under uncultured bacterium. Its description in RNAcentral is "partial 16S ribosomal RNA". It matches the Rfam family "Bacterial small subunit ribosomal RNA", at positions 355 to 900 of the family's 1533-position model. The record is from RNAcentral.